Molecule: transfer RNA, 63 nt
Filed under: Vaejovis smithi
Lineage: Eukaryota; Metazoa; Arthropoda; Arachnida; Scorpiones; Vaejovidae
Description: tRNA-Ala
Source: RNAcentral
AGGUAAAUAUUUUAAAUAAAAUAUUUAGUUUGCGUCUAUGGGUUGUCUUGUUGACUUUACCUA